RNAcentral lists this ribosomal RNA (504 nucleotides) under uncultured bacterium. RNAcentral describes it as "partial 16S ribosomal RNA". It matches the Rfam family "Bacterial small subunit ribosomal RNA", at positions 29 to 523 of the family's 1533-position model. The record is from RNAcentral.
AUUGAACGCUGGCGGCAGGCCUAACACAUGCAAGUCGGACGGUAGCACAGAGAGCUUGCUCUUGGGUGACGAGUGGCGGACGGGUGAGUAAUGUCUGGGGAUCUGCCCGAUAGAGGGGGAUAACCACUGGAAACGGUGGCUAAUACCGCAUAACGUCACAAGACCAAAGAGGGGGACCUUCGGGCCUCUCACUAUCGGAUGAACCCAGAUGGGAUUAGCUAGUAGGCGGGGUAAUGGCCCACCUAGGCGACGAUCCCUAGCUGGUCUGAGAGGAUGACCAGCCACACUGGAACUGAGACACGGUCCAGACUCCUACGGGAGGCAGCAGUGGGGAAUAUUGCACAAUGGGCGCAAGCCUGAUGCAGCCAUGCCGCGUGUAUGAAGAAGGCCUUCGGGUUGUAAAGUACUUUCAGCGGGGAGGAAGGCGGUACGGUUAAUAACCGUACCGAUUGACGUUACCCGCAGAAGAAGCACCGGCUAACUCCGAGCCAGCCGCCGCAGUAA